This 70-nucleotide unclassified non-coding RNA is filed under the name soil metagenome. RNAcentral's name for it is "partial internal transcribed spacer 1". The record is from RNAcentral.
UGAUUUUAGUUAUCUUGUGAACGUACUACGAACAAACAAAAAAAUAUUAUAGUCAAAAAAAAUUAAAUCA